Molecule: ribosomal RNA, 497 nt
Filed under: uncultured bacterium
Lineage: Bacteria
Description: partial 16S ribosomal RNA
Rfam family: Bacterial small subunit ribosomal RNA
Source: RNAcentral
GAUGAACGCUGGCGGCGUGCCUAAUACAUGCAAGUCGAGCGAACAGAUGAGGAGCUUGCUCCUCUGACGUUAGCGGCGGACGGGUGAGUAACACGUGGAUAACCUCCCUAUAAGACUGGGAUAACUUCGGGAAACCGGAGCUAAUCCCGGCUAAUAUAUUGAACCGCAUGGUUCAAGAGUGAAAGACGGUUUUGCUGUCACUUAUAGAUGGAUCCGCGCCGCAUUAGCUAGUGGGUAAGGUAACGGCUUACCAAGGCAACGAUGCGUAGCCGACCUGAGAGGGUGAUCGGCCACACUGGAACUGAGACACGGUCCAGACUCCUACGGGAGGCAGCAGUAGGGAAUCUUCCGCAAUGGGCGAAAGCCUGACGGAGCAACGCCGCGUGAGUGAUGAAGGUCUUCGGAUCGUAAAACUCUGUUAUUAGGGAAGAACAAAUGUGUAAGUAACUAUGCACGUCUUGACGGUACCUAAUCAGAAAGCCACGGCUAACUACGUG